AAUUAAUACAUAGUUAUUGCGGAAGAUAUACACACUAAUAAUCACUCGUUUACGUGAUAAAGGUGCAAAAAAAUGAAUUGCAACAAGAUAUUCCAU
This 96-nucleotide small RNA is filed under the name Arabidopsis thaliana (thale cress). Its description in RNAcentral is "ATSL151610". The record is from RNAcentral. Lineage: Eukaryota; Viridiplantae; Streptophyta; Magnoliopsida; Brassicales; Brassicaceae.